AUGUGGCUCCUGGGCGGCCAGAUGUGUGUGUUCCCGGGGCCGGCGAGUCUGGGCGGGCGCGUAGGAGGGGCUGCAUUUUUUCCCCCAGAGCACACUUAAAAGCCAGCGGAACCUCAAGCCCCCUGGGCUCCAGGCCUGGCUAACCAGCUCGUAACGGAGAAGUUUCCAGCCCCGCCUGUGCCCGGCCGCCGAGCAGCCCUUGGGACUUCUUGAACCGGCAGAGAAAAUAGGGCAGCUCUGCAGGAUCCCCCAAAUGGCCGCUACCGAACCCAGUUCUUGGAAGAUGGCCAACAGUCUGUCUGGUGGAGGGUGCUGCUAAUUAGAGAGAGCCCAUAAACCUCUCUGUCAAAGAGGGCAUCAUCUCAGGACAUCACAAAAUAGAGUUCCCUAAGUAUUCCUUUCUUUGUCUAAUAUACCUCCCUGGGAGCACCCUUGCUUGCUUUAAUUUUAUACAACACAUUGUAAACUAUAAAUAAUACAGUUCCACUUUCCUAGAACAUAUGGAAAGUGUC
Nycticebus coucang (slow loris) is the source of this 512-nucleotide long non-coding RNA. RefSeq lists it as uncharacterized. The transcript has 3 exons. Lineage: Eukaryota; Metazoa; Chordata; Mammalia; Primates; Lorisidae. The record is from RefSeq and is a predicted model, not a curated record.